RNAcentral lists this long non-coding RNA (1059 nucleotides) under Anolis carolinensis (green anole). RNAcentral describes it as "lncRNA (ENSACAG00000039590.1)". Lineage: Eukaryota; Metazoa; Chordata; Lepidosauria; Squamata; Anolidae. The record is from RNAcentral.
UCCAGUCUAGAGGUAACUAAGGCAUGCACCACCGUGGUCAGGUCAGACUUCACGAGGUAUGGUCGCAGUUUGGGGGUCCUCCUGGAUUCAGCGUUGACGCUUGAAGCACAGGUGUCGGCAGUGGCUGGGAGGGCUUUCGCACAACUCAAACUUGUGCGCCAACUGCGACCAUACCUCGUGAAGUCUGAUUUGACCACGGUGGUCCAUGCCUUAGUUACCUCUAGACUGGACUACUGUAAUGCGCUCUACGUGGGGCUUCCCUUGAAGACGGCCCGGAAAUUACAAUUGGUCCAACGCUCGGCAGCCAGAUUAAUAACGGGGGCGAGUUACAGGGAGAGAUCCACUCCCCUGUUUAAGGAGCUCCACUGGCUGCCGUUUAUUUUCCGGUCCCAAUUCAAGGUGCAGACUAUCAUCUAUAAAGCCCUAAACGGUUUGGGACCCACCUACCUCCGUGACCGUAUUUCCUUUCAUAAACCUGCCCGAUCUUUACGAUCAUCCGGGGAGGCCCUUUUAGCACCACUGUCUUUAUCCCAGGCCCGCCUUGUGAGUACAAGGGAGAGGGCCUUUUCUGCUGUGGCCCCCCCGAUUGUGGAACUCACUACCUACUGAAAUUAGGCAAGCUCCCACGCUGUUAGCUUUUAGGAAAGACUUGAAAACAUGGCUCUUCCGCUGUGCCUUUGGUGAGUAACUUCUGUUAUUUCUGUGUUACUCCCACCCCGAACAUCUAUCCUCUAGAUUACCCCACUUCCAUAUGUCCCUGCCCGCAGUGGAGUACCCCUAUGUCCCUCUCACCCCAGGUUUUAUCUUUGUGUUCACGUGGCCUGCCCUUGUUUUACUGUUUUUUUUAUUUCUUGAUGUUGAUGCAUUUAUUGUAUUUUUAAUGGUGCUAUGUUAUGUUGUUUUAUAUUUUGUUAUAUUGUAUUGCUCUGGGCAUGGCCCCAUGUUAGCCGCCCCGAGUCCCCGUUGGGGAGAUGGUGGCGGGGUAUAAAUAAAGUUUUAUUAUUAUUAUUAUUAUUAUUAUUAUUAUUAUUAUUAUUAUUAUUAUCUCUGUAACCAGUA